Molecule: long non-coding RNA, 609 nt
Filed under: Equus caballus (horse)
Lineage: Eukaryota; Metazoa; Chordata; Mammalia; Perissodactyla; Equidae
Description: lncRNA (ENSECAG00000042869.2)
Source: RNAcentral
GAUGUGUGAGAGUACUGGAACCCGUUGGCACUAAUUGGUCUCUUAUAGGUCUCUAUCACUUUACCUGAACAUUAAGAGACAAUCAGAAGAAAAAUGCCUGCCUCUCUAGACCGUGAUAUCAAUGGACCCCCAAGAUCUUUCCACACUAACAUGUGACUGCGUAAAGAAGACAAUGCGUUAUUUGCAAGGAAGAUGACAGCAUCAACAAUCUUAUUGACUGAGUGAAAAUGCUAAUAUUAUAUGCCAGUCACACUGCUAAACAAUCUUUAUCAGAAGCCUAUGUAAGAGGUAGUAUUUUAAGCUCAUUUCACAGAAGAUAAUGAGGCCAGGAAUGUUCAUUAACUUGUCCAAAGUCACACAGCAGGUAGCCGCGGGUGUGAAGUCCGACACACUCUCUCUGAGAUCCAGCACCUAGUCCAGACCUCUGUAUGGACCCCAUGCCCCUCUUUUCCUGAGACCAACAGGAGAACAUGCCCAGUGGCACAAAACUCGACAUGCUGCAGAGGGAAAAUCUCUAUAUUUCACCAGACAAUCCCAACAAUCUAAGAAGGACUGGAGAGACAACUUUUUUUUACUGGUGCCCUUGAGUUUGCAACAUGCAUUUACAAC